UGGGGAAUAUUGCACAAUGGGCGCAAGCCUGAUGCAGCCAUGCCGCGUGUGUGAAGAAGGCCUUCGGGUUGUAAAGCACUUUCAGCGAGGAGGAAGGUGGUGAGCUUAAUACGCUCAUCAAUUGACGUUACUCGCAGAAGAAGCACCGGCUAACUCCGUGCCAGCAGCCGCGGUAAUACGGAGGGUGCAAGCGUUAAUCGGAAUUACUGGGCGUAAAGCGCACGCAGGCGGUUUGUUAAGUCAGAUGUGAAAUCCCCGGGCUCAACCUGGGAACUGCAUUUGAAACUGGCAAGCUAGAGUCUCGUAGAGGGGGGUAGAAUUCCAGGUGUAGCGGUGAAAUGCGUAGAGAUCUGGAGGAAUACCGGUGGCGAAGGCGGCCCCCUGGACGAAGACUGACGCUCAGGUGCGAAAGCGUGGGGCAGCAAACAGGAUUAGAUACCCUCGGUAGUCCACGCUGUAAAACGAUGUCGAUUUGGAGGUUGUGCCCUUGAGGCGUGGCUUCCGGAGCUAACGCGUUAAAUCGACCGCCUGGGGAGUACGGCCGCAAGGUUAAAACUCAAAUGAAUUGACGGGUCUAGCUGUUCC
This 585-nucleotide ribosomal RNA is filed under the name uncultured bacterium. Its description in RNAcentral is "partial 16S ribosomal RNA". It matches the Rfam family "Bacterial small subunit ribosomal RNA", at positions 355 to 936 of the family's 1533-position model. The record is from RNAcentral.